Molecule: long non-coding RNA, 967 nt
Filed under: Salvator merianae (Argentine black and white tegu)
Lineage: Eukaryota; Metazoa; Chordata; Lepidosauria; Squamata; Teiidae
Description: lncRNA (ENSSMRG00000022682.1)
Source: RNAcentral
GAAACAGCAAGAGCAGCAGCAAUUGGCAAACAGGAAACAUCCCAGAAGAGCCCAUGGAGAAAGUUUGCAUGCAUCUCAGAAGUCUGGAGGAACGCUGGCUUCGCCUGAAUCUGACCACCUUCGUGAAGGCCAUCAGGAAUUUCUGAGUGUUCCUGGAAGCGAUGGAGAAGCUCACGCUCUUCAGCAGCAAUUAAAAGAAAAAACUGAUAUUAUCUCUUCCAUGANUUUGGAGAUCCAGAUUUUGAAGGAGAAGAAUGAGAACCUAAUGAAAGCUAAACUGAGGUUCCAGCAGCAAAUUCAAGAGAUCCGCAGACUUUCAACACAGCGACCUGGAAAAAGCAAUGCAGAGCUUCUGGUUCCUAAGCUCUCCAUGAACUGGGGACAGGAUUUGCAAAGGGCCGACAGCAGUGAAGCCUCUGCAUCUNUGCCCCAAAGUGGUGAACCCAUGAGCAGUGAAAACCUUCCUGUGGCCGCCCAGGGAGCCCAGCUUUGCUCCAGGGCUGAAAUUAAGCCCAGUUGCACCUCUUUGGAUACCAGCACUGUGCCUCCNACAUCAGCAAGGCCUGGAGCUCACAGAACCUCCCCCUCCACUGUGCCUCUUGAGUCAGACCCAGAACUCUGCAACACUGCUGCACCUCCCAUCAGGUUGGACACUGCAACCUCCUUGUCGGAGGGGAGGUGGCAGGCUGAGAGUGAAGGAGCCACAUGCAGUCCUCAGGGCUCGAUUCUUCUGUCGCCAAGGCCCUUUGGACCCCAAAGACCAUGGUCUCCCUUUAAAUUCAAAGGGAACCUUGAAGCAUCAGAAAACUGAGAAUCAGUGUCACUCUAGGAAAAAACCUCAUGCACAAUGGUUCUCUAAAAGGUUCAGCUGUGGGAUGGAGAAAGCACGUGUUCAGUUUCCCCCGUCAGCGCUGAGCAUGGACACCUGAACCAGCUGGCGAAACCCACAAUGUCAAAUGUGUUCCAC